This 403-nucleotide ribosomal RNA is filed under the name uncultured bacterium. RNAcentral describes it as "partial 16S ribosomal RNA". It matches the Rfam family "Bacterial small subunit ribosomal RNA", at positions 30 to 526 of the family's 1533-position model. The record is from RNAcentral.
AUUGAACGCUGGCGGCAUGCCUAACACAUGCAAGUCGAGCGAGCGGCGGACGGGUGAGUAAUGUAUGGGGACUGCCCUAUAGAGGGGGAUAACUACUGGAAACGGGAGCUAAUACCGCAUACUAUCGGAUAACCCAUAUGGGAUGAGCUAGUAGGUCAGGUAAUGGCUCACCUAGGCUACGAUCCCUAGCUGGCCUGAGAGGAUGAUCGGCCACACUGGGACUGAGACACGGCCCAGACUCCUACGGAGGCAGCAGUGGGGAAUAUUGGACAAUGGGCGAAAGCCUGAUGCAGCAAUGCCGCGUGUAUGAAGAAGGCCUUAGGGUUGUAAAGUACUUUCAGUCGGGAGGCGUUACCGAAAGAGGAAGCACCGGCUAACUACGUGCCAGCAGCCGCGGUAAUUC